RNAcentral lists this transfer RNA (76 nucleotides) under Rhodospirillaceae bacterium. Its description in RNAcentral is "tRNA-Val". It matches the Rfam family "tRNA". Rfam says of the family: Transfer RNA (tRNA) molecules are approximately 80 nucleotides in length. Lineage: Bacteria; Pseudomonadati; Pseudomonadota; Alphaproteobacteria; Rhodospirillales; Rhodospirillaceae. The record is from RNAcentral. RNAcentral also lists the same sequence under 2 other names.
GGGCGAUUAGCUCAGCUGGAAGAGCGCCUCGUUUACACCGAGGAUGUCGGAGGUUCGAGUCCUUCAUCGCCCACCA